This 102-nucleotide transfer RNA is filed under the name Cellulomonas carbonis. RNAcentral's name for it is "tRNA-Ser". The record is from RNAcentral. Lineage: Bacteria; Bacillati; Actinomycetota; Actinomycetes; Micrococcales; Cellulomonadaceae.
CGUCCGUCACGGGCGCGGAGUCGAUCGUCCGGUCGCUCGAGGCGGCCGGGACCGAGGUCGUCUUCGGCAUCCCCGGCGGUGCGAUCCUGCCGACGUACGACC